UACGUAGGGGGCAAGCGUUAUCCGGAUUUACUGGGUGUAAAGGGGGCGCAGACGGCAGCGCAAGCCAGGAGUGAAAGCCCGGGGCCCAACCCCGGGACUGCUCUUGGAACUGCGCGGCUGGAGUGCAGGAGGGGCAGGCGGAAUUCCUGGUGUAGCGGUGAAAUGCGUAGAUAUCAGGAGGAACACUGGUGGCGAAGGCGGCCUGCUGGACUGCGACUGACGUUGAGGCCCGAAAGCGUGGGGAGCAAACAGG
RNAcentral lists this ribosomal RNA (253 nucleotides) under uncultured bacterium. Its description in RNAcentral is "partial 16S ribosomal RNA". It matches the Rfam family "Bacterial small subunit ribosomal RNA", at positions 524 to 776 of the family's 1533-position model. The record is from RNAcentral.